RNAcentral lists this ribosomal RNA (903 nucleotides) under uncultured bacterium. Its description in RNAcentral is "bacterial SSU rRNA". It matches the Rfam family "Bacterial small subunit ribosomal RNA", at positions 8 to 957 of the family's 1533-position model. The record is from RNAcentral.
AGAGUUUGAUCAUGGCUCAGGAUGAACGCUGGCGGCGUGCUUAACACAUGCAAGUCGAACGAACCUUCGGGUUAGUGGCGGACGGGUGAGUAACGCGUGAGAAUCUGCCCUCAGGAGGGGGAUAACGGCUGGAAACGGCCGCUAAUACCCCAUAUGCCGAGAGGUGAAAUGAAUUUCGCCUGGGGAUGAGCUCGCGUCUGAUUAGCUAGUUGGUGUGGUAAAGGCUCACCAAGGCUUCGAUCAGUAGCUGGUCUGAGAGGAUGAUCAGCCACACUGGGACUGAGACACGGCCCAGACUCCUACGGGAGGCAGCAGUGGGGAAUUUUCCGCAAUGGGCGCAAGCCUGACGGAGCAACGCCGCGUGAGGGAUGAAGGCCUCUGGGCUGUAAACCUCUUUUAUCAAGGAAGAAGAACUGACGGUACUUGAUGAAUAAGCCACGGCUAAUUCCGUGCCAGCAGCCGCGGUAAUACGGGAGUGGCAAGCGUUAUCCGGAAUUAUUGGGCGUAAAGCGUCCGCAGGCGGUUUUACAAGUCUGUCGUUAAAGCGUGGAGCUCAACUCCAUUUCAGCGAUGGAAACUGUAAGACUCGAGUGUGGUAGGGGCAGAGGGAAUUCCCGGUGUAGCGGUGAAAUGCGUAGAUAUCGGGAAGAACACCAGUGGCGAAAGCGCUCUGCUGGGCCAUAACUGACGCUCAUGGACGAAAGCCAGGGGAGCGAAAGGGAUUAGAUACCCCUGUAGUCCUGGCCGUAAACGAUGAACACUAGGUGUCGGGGGAAUCGACCCCCUCGGUGUCGUAGCCAACGCGUUAAGUGUUCCGCCUGGGGAGUACGCACGCAAGUGUGAAACUCAAAGGAAUUGACGGGGGCCCGCACAAGCGGUGGAGUAUGUGGUUUAAUUCGAUGC